GGGUGCGAUUAUACCAGUGCUAAUGCUCCGGAUCCCAUCAGAACUCUGUAGUUAAGCGUCCCUUGGCGAGAGUAAUGCUAGGAUGGGUGACCUCCUGGAAAGUCCUCGUGUUGCACCCC
RNAcentral lists this ribosomal RNA (119 nucleotides) under Gossypium arboreum. The record is from RNAcentral. Lineage: Eukaryota; Viridiplantae; Streptophyta; Magnoliopsida; Malvales; Malvaceae.